RNAcentral lists this ribosomal RNA (451 nucleotides) under uncultured bacterium. RNAcentral describes it as "partial 16S ribosomal RNA". It matches the Rfam family "Bacterial small subunit ribosomal RNA", at positions 29 to 523 of the family's 1533-position model. The record is from RNAcentral.
AACGAACGCUGGCGGCAGGCUUAACACAUGCAAGUCGAACGCGUGUAGCAAUACACGAGUGGCGCACGGGUGAGUAACGCGUGGAUAUCUGCCUUUUGGUUCGGAAUAACCCCGGGAAACUGGGGCUAAUACCGGAUGGUUCCUUCGGGAUAAAGAUUUAUCGCCAAAAGAUGAGUCCGCGUCCGUUUAGCUAGUUGGUGAGGUAACGGCUCACCAAGGCGACGAUCGGUAGCUGGUCUGAGAGGACGAUCAGCCACACUGGGACUGAGACACGGCCCAGACUCCUACGGGAGGCAGCAGUGGGGAAUAUUGGACAAUGGGGGCAACCCUGAUCCAGCCAUGCCGCGUGAGUGAUGAAGGCCUUCGGGUUGUAAAGCUCUUUUGGCGGGGACGAUGAUGACGGUACCCGCAGAAUAAGCCCCGGCUAACUUCGUGCCAGCCGCCGCCGUAA